GACAAGAUACAUUUAUGCACGAUAGCGCACGCGCGCAGCCGGUUUGGGUUCGGUGUAAGGCACUACAUCUCAGUGCUAGAGGCGUCACGACAGUUCGAAUCCAGCUGUGAUUGGGGGUCCCAUAGGGUGGCGCACAAUACGCUCAAUGUCGUCCGGGUUUGGCCGUCAUUGUAAAUAAGAAUUUGUUCUUAAUUGACUUGCCUAGGGAAAAAAAGAAAGAAGCUUGUGUUGACAUCGGCAAAUGCUUUUUUUGACAUUGCACAUUUUAUUCAGGCAGAAAAAUGUAUGUAAACGGAGCUCAAUUGAUUUCAUUGUUACUGUCAAUGACUACUAUCAACAAGGAUCCCUCAUUAUCUUAUUUUACUACGUGUAAUAAUGCUGUUCUGUAAUAACUUGUACACCCAUCCCCCACGUCGACAUACUUCGCCCACAUUCUUCUCUGCAAUGGGGCCUAGACUGGGCAUGCGUUGAUUUUCCAGUAGUUCAUGGGGGAUGAACGUGUAGGGGGGGGGGCGCUCUUGUAUCACGGUUGCUGUAGUGAAGGCCGUUCCUUGGUGAUACAAUCAGACGAGAAGUGGGGGUGGCGAGAGAAAAAAAGCUAACAGGCUUGGUCGCUCUUUGUUUCUGGCUAGCGUUGGAAAUUGAAGGGACCUAUCGGCGAAGGGUGAUUUCAAUAGUGGUGCUUGGUGCUGUCACAUUCUCAGACUCAGCUGAGAGAUGUCCACCCCAGACCCUCCCAUGGGAGGGACGCCUCGGCCGGGCCCCUCCCCAGGACCGGGGCCUUCUCCAGGAGCAAUGAUGGGCCCCAGCCCUUCCCCGGGCUCUGCUCAUAGCAUGAUGGGACCCAGCCCAGGUCCCCCAGCCUCUGUGCACUCUCACCCACAACAGGGGCCCUCAGGAUAUCCUCAGGAGAAUAUGCAUCAGAUGCACAAACCUAUGGAAGGCAUGCAUGAGAAGGGCAUGUCUGAUGACCCUCGCUAUGGACCGAUGAAGAGCAUGGGCAUGAGACCAGGUGGAGGCCACAUUGGAAUGGGACCCCCUCCUAGCCCCAUGGACCAACAUUCCCAAGGCUACCCCUCUCCACUGGGGGGGUUCUGAGCACUCUCCCAGCCCUGUGCCAGCCAACGGCCCUCCCGCUGGCCCCAUGUUGCCCUCUGGCCCAGGUGUCCCCAUGGAGGGAGGUGACCCCCAGGCCAUGGGCCAGCAGAACCGCGUUGGGGUCGCAGGUCCGAGUGGUGGUUCUGGGCCAGGCGGUGUUGGGCCAGGUGGACCCACCCCCUUCAACCAAAACCAGCUACACCAGCUCAGGGCCCAGAUCAUGGCCUACAAGAUGCUGUCUCGCAGCCAGCCCCUGCCAGACCACCUGCAGAUGGCCGUGCAGGGCAAGAGGCCCAUGCCAGGGAUGCAGCAGCAGCCAGGGAUGCCCAACAUGCCCCCUUCCUCAGGGCCUGGAGCGGGGCCUGGACAGCCACCAGCAAACUACAACAGACCUCAUGGAAUGGUAGGCCCAAACAUGCCUCCUCCAGGACCCUCAGGUGUUCCCCCUGGUAUGCAGGGCCAGCCCACCAAUGGACCCCCUAAACAAUGGCCCGAAGGGCCCAUGGUGAAUGCUGCUGCUCCAUCCAGUGCCCCCCAGAAGCUGAUUCCCCCUCAGCCCACUGGGAGACCCUCCCCUGCUCCCCCCUCCGUGCCCCCUGCUGCCUCCCGGUCAUGCCCCCCAGACCCAGUCCCCCGGGCAGCCCCCCAGCCCCCACCCAUGGUGCUGCACCAGAAACAGAACCGCAUCACGCCUAUCCAGAAGCCCCGUGGCCUGGACCCAGUGGAGAUCCUCCAGGAGAGAGAGUACAGGCUGCAGGCUCGUAUCACUCACCGUAUCCAGGAGCUGGAGCAUCUACCAGGGUCUCUGGCCGGAGACCUGCGCACCAAAGCCAACAUCGAGCUAAAGGCCCUGAGGCUGCUAAAUUUCCAGAGACAGCUGCGUCAGGAGGUAGUGGUGUGUAUGCGUCGUGACACGGCCCUGGAGACGGCCCUCAACGCUAAGGCCUACAAGCGCAGCAAGCGGCAGUCCCUCCGUGAGGCCCGCAUCACAGAGAAACUGGAGAAGCAACAAAAGAUUGAACAGGAGCGCAAACGACGCCAGAAACACCAGGAAUACCUUAACAGCAUCCUGCAGCAUGCUAAAGACUUCAAGGAGUACCACCGCUCCAUCACAGCCAAGCUCCAGAAGGCCACAAAAGCUGUGGCCACAUACCACGCCAACACUGAGCGCGAGCAGAAGAAGGAGAACGAGCGCAUUGAGAAGGAGAGAAUGAGGAGGCUGAUGGCGGAAGAUGAGGAGGGCUACCGUAAGCUGAUUGACCAGAAGAAAGACAAGCGCCUGGCCUACCUGCUGCAGCAGACAGACGAGUACGUGGCCAACCUCACCGAUCUGGUCAGAGCCCACAAGGCUGAUCAGGCCCUCAAGGAUAAGAAGAAGAAGAAAAAGAAGAAGAAGAAGAAGAAGCCAGAGAGUGGGGAGGGCCAGCCUCUUGCCCUGGGACCCGACGGAGAGCCUCUGGAUGAGACCAGUCAGAUGAGUGACCUGCCUGUGAAGGUGAUUCAUGUAGACAGUGGGAAGAUCCUGACGGGGCUGGAUGCGCCCCGGGCUGGCCAGCUGGACACCUGGCUGGAGAUGAACCCUGGGUAUGAAGUGGCCCCUCGUUCAGACAGCGAGGACAGUGGCUCAGAGGAAGAGGAGGAGGAAGAGGUGGAGCCCCAGCCCUCCCAGGCUCCCACCGAGGAGAAAAAGAAGAUCCCAGACCCCGACACAGAGGACGUGUCCGAGGUCGACGUCCGCUACAUCAUCGAAGGGGCCAAGCAGGAUGUGGAUGAUGAGUAUAACAGUGCCGAGGCGGCGUUCGCCCGAGGCCUGCAGUCUUACUAUGCUGUGGCCCACGCCGUCACUGAGACGGUGGACAAACAGUCCACGCUGCUGGUCAACGGGCAGCUCAAACAUUACCAGAUCAAGGGCUUGGAGUGGCUGGUGUCUCUGUACAACAACAACCUGAAUGGGAUCCUGGCUGAUGAGAUGGGUCUGGGCAAGACCAUCCAGACCAUCGGCCUCAUCACCUACCUCAUGGAGCACAAGCGCAUCAACGGCCCCUUCCUCAUCAUCGUGCCCCUCUCAACUCUGUCCAACUGGGUGUAUGAGUUUGAUAAGUGGGCUCCAACGGUGGUGAAAGUCUCUUACAAAGGCUCCCCACAGGCUCGCCGGGCAUUCCUCCCCAUCCUGCGCAGCGGCAAGUUCAACGUACUGCUCACCACCUACGAGUACAUCAUCAAAGACAAGCAAGUGCUGGCUAAGCUGCGAUGGAAGUACAUGAUAGUGGACGAGGGCCACCGUAUGAAAAACCACCACUGUAAGCUGACUGUGGUUCUGAACACCCACUACCUGGCCCCGCGGCGUCUGCUGCUGACCGGCACCCCGCUGCAGAACAAGCUGCCGGAGCUCUGGGCCCUGCUCAACUUCCUGCUGCCGACCAUCUUCAAGUCCUGCACUACCUUCGAGCAGUGGUUCAACGCCCCCUUCGCCAUGACCGGAGAGAAGGUGGAUCUGAACGAGGAAGAGACCAUCCUGAUUAUCCGUCGUUUGCACAAAGUGCUCCGCCCCUUCCUGCUGCGCAGACUGAAAAAGGAGGUGGAGUCCCAGCUGCCUGAGAAGGUGGAGUAUGUGAUCAAGUGUGACAUGUCGGCCCUGCAGAGAGUGCUGUACAGACACAUGCAGGCUAAGGGUGUGCUGCUCACCGACGGCUCUGAGAAAGACAAGAAGGGUAAAGGAGGCACCAAGACCCUGAUGAACACCAUCAUGCAGCUGAGGAAGAUCUGUAACCAUCCCUACAUGUUCCAGCAGAUCGAGGAGUCCUUCUCUGAGCAUUUGGGAUUCACUGGGGGCGUAGUGUCUGGACCUGACCUGUACCGCGCCGCUGGGAAGUUUGAGCUGCUUGACCGUAUCCUGCCCAAGCUGAUGGUCACCGGCCACAAGGUCCUGCUCUUCUGUCAGAUGACUUCCACCAUGACCAUCAUGGAGGACUACUUUGGCUGGCGCAACUUUAAGUACCUGCGUCUGGACGGAACCACUAAGGCUGAGGAUCGUGGGAUGCUUUUGAAGACCUUCAAUGACCCCGCCUCUCAGUACUUUGUGUUCCUGCUCAGCACCAGGGCCGGCGGGCUGGGCCUCAACCUUCAGUCUGCUGACACUGUGGUCAUCUUUGACUCAGACUGGAACCCACAUCAGGAUCUGCAGGCCCAGGACAGAGCCCACCGUAUCGGGCAGCGGAACGAGGUGCGUGUGUUGCGUCUCUGCACCGUUCAAAGUGUGGAGGAGAAGAUCCUGGCGGCGGCCAAGUACAAGCUGAACGUGGACCAGAAGGUCAUCCAGGCCGGCAUGUUCGACCAGAAGUCGUCAAGUCACGAGCGCCGUGCCUUCCUGCAGGCCAUCCUGGAGCAUGAGGAACAAGACGAGGUCGGGGCCCCGGGGGGCUGGCGCGCUGGGGGGGCGUUGGAGGAGGACGAGGUGCCCGAUGAUGAGACCGUCAACCAGAUGAUUGCCAGGAGCGAGGAGGAGUUUGACCAGUUCAUGCGUAUGGACCUGGACCGGCGCCGCGAGGACGCCCGCAACCCCAAGAGAAAGCCCCGUCUGAUGGAGGAUGACGAGCUGCCCACCUGGAUCCUAAAGGAUGAUGCCGAGGUGGAGAGGCUCACCUGUGAGGAGGAGGAGGAGAAGAUGUUUGGUCGCGGCUCUCGCCAGCGCAAGGAGGUGGACUACAGCGACUCACUCACAGAGAAGCAGUGGCUCAAGGCCAUAGAGGACGGUAAUCUGGAGGACCUCGAGGAGGAAGUGCGUCACAAGAAGACGACCCGGAAGCGCAAGCGAGACCGCGACGACAUGCCCGGCCCGGCCACACCCAGCUCCAGUGGCGGUGGUCGCAGCCGUGACAAGGACGAGGAGGUCAAGAAGGCCAAGAAACGCGGGCGCCCUCCGGCUGAAAAACUGUCCCCUAACCCCCCAUCCCUCACCAAGAAGAUGAAGAAGGUGGUGGACACUGUCAUCAAGUACAAGGACGGCAGCAAUGGGCGCCAGCUGAGUGAAGUCUUCAUCCAGCUGCCCUCCCGCAAGGAGCUGCCUGAGUACUACGAGCUCAUCCGCAAGCCUGUCGACUUCAGGAAGAUUAAGGAGAGGAUCCGCAGCCAUAAGUACCGCAGCCUGAAUGACCUGGAGAAGGAUGUGAUGCUGCUGUGUAGUAACGCUCAGACCUUCAACCUGGAGGGCUCUCUGAUCUAUGAGGACUCCAUCGUACUGCAGUCAGUCUUCACCAGUGUCAGGCAGAAGAUUGAAAAGGAGAAGGAGGAGGAGAGUGAGGGAGAGGACAGUGAGGAGGAAGAAGAGGAGGAGGUGGACGAAGGCUCUGAGUCUGAAUCUCGUUCAGUGAAGGUGAAGAUUAAGCUGGGGAGGAAGGAGAAGGAGGGCAGAGGGAAGGGCCAGCGCCGGAGGGGCCGUGGCUCCCGGGCCAAACCUGUAGUGAGCGACGACGACAGCGAGGAGGAACAGGAGGAGGCGGGUUCGGCCAGCGGCAGUGAGGAGAACUGAACUGAACCACUCCUGUUCUGCGAGGACCAACGGCCCACUGAGACCCUCGACUGGAACUUAUAUAUUUUACCUAGAUUCUAUAGCAGGGAGACAAGCCAGUGGAGAGGGGCCUAGUUUUAGCUAGAUGAGCUGAUUUUUAGUGAGACAAAUGUAUUCCAUAAUUAAAAUACACCAUCAAUUAAAACAUUUAAAAAAUGAUAGCAAAAAAAAACCCACUUACAUAUUUAAGCAAUCCUGGUAUGAAUAGCUGGACUGUAUGUCUUUUUGCCUUGUUGUUUUCUCCUGAAAGUGAUUUAAGGUGGACAGAGUUUGAUUAGCAGACUGAUCGUGGACCACAGGGAGAGAGUGCUGACUUUUUAAGCGAGUUUGUUUUGUCGUUUUGUUUCCUUUGAGAUGGAGCUGUGUGACCGGAGUCGCUGUGGUUUCUUAAGUCCCUUGAAUGCAUGUCGUUUGGUCUGUGGAAAUGCACCUGGGUGUGUCGUUCUAUUAUAUCUCUGUUUAAUUUAAGAAUACAAGUGAGAUAAACGGUACGUUCCCCCUUAGGCCUUCCUCCGGCUACAAGUGAGAAGGGAAGGGCGGGACUCUGUCUCGCGUCUGUGUCACUGGAUUCCAAAAAGUACAAUAAAGGUGUCUCGUAAAUUAAA
RNA transcript from Oncorhynchus gorbuscha (pink salmon), 6270 nucleotides. It is a transcript of the gene named transcription activator BRG1-like, with no coding region annotated. NCBI's taxonomy places the organism in Eukaryota, Metazoa, Chordata, Actinopteri, Salmoniformes, Salmonidae. The record is from RefSeq and is a predicted model, not a curated record. The transcript is spliced from 31 exons.